This 345-nucleotide unclassified non-coding RNA is filed under the name soil metagenome. Its description in RNAcentral is "partial contains 5.8S ribosomal RNA, internal transcribed spacer 2, and large subunit ribosomal RNA". The stretch from base 1 to 120 matches the Rfam family "5.8S ribosomal RNA", at positions 35 to 154 of the family's 154-position model. The record is from RNAcentral.
GAUGAAGAACGCAGCGAAAUGCGAUAAGUAAUGUGAAUUGCAGAGUUUUGUGAAUCAUCGAAUCUUUGAACGCACAUUGCGCCCUCUGGUAUUCCGGAGGGCAUGCCUGUCCGAGCGUCAUUGCUGCCCUCAAGCACGGCUUGUGUGUUAGGCCCCGUCCUCCGCUCGCGGGGGACGGGCCUGAAAGGCAGCGGCGGCACCGCGUCCGGUCCUCGAGCGUAUGGGGCUUUGUCACCCGCUCUGUAGGCCCGGCCGGCGCCUGCCGAUCAACCACACUUUUAUUCAGGUUGACCUCGGAUCAGGUAGGGAUACCCGCUGAACUUAAGCAUAUCAAUAAGCGGAGGA